GUCGAGAAUCUUCCGCAAUGCGCGAAAGCGUGACGGAGCGACACCGCGUGAUGGAUGAAGUCCUUCGGGGCGUAAACAUCUUUUAUAAAGGAGGAAAUUUUUGACGUUACUUUAUGAAUAAGGGGCUCCCAAUCUCGUGCCAGCAGGAGCGGUAAUACGAGAGCCUCAAGCGUUAUCCGGAAUCAUUGGGCGUAAAGGGUGCGUAGGUGGUUUGAUUAGUCUCCCGUUAAAACUUCGAGCUUAACUCGAAAAUAGCGGGGGAAACGGUCAAACUAGAGUAUGUGAGAGGUGUGUGGAACUCAUGGUGUAGGAGUGAAAUCCGUUGAUAUCAUGGGGAACACCAAAAGCGAAGGCAGCACACUGGCACAUCACUGACACUGAGGCACGAAACCUAAGGUAGCGAAUGGGAUUAGAAACCCUAGUAGUCC
This 428-nucleotide ribosomal RNA is filed under the name uncultured bacterium. RNAcentral describes it as "partial 16S ribosomal RNA". It matches the Rfam family "Bacterial small subunit ribosomal RNA", at positions 354 to 796 of the family's 1533-position model. The record is from RNAcentral.